RNAcentral lists this long non-coding RNA (482 nucleotides) under Pomacea canaliculata. RNAcentral describes it as "uncharacterized LOC112570572". Lineage: Eukaryota; Metazoa; Mollusca; Gastropoda; Architaenioglossa; Ampullariidae. The record is from RNAcentral.
UCAUGGGCAAUGGAGGAUAUAAAAUUAAACGAAUGAAGGAACAGAAUCAUUGAAGACAUCAACGUCGUCAGCAAACAACACAACAGCUCAACCAUGAAGUUCGUCUACCUCGGCCUCGCUCUGCUUCUUGUCGCUACCUUCUCUUGCAAAGCUGAGCAUUGUCCUGACGGCUACUCGCAAACUGUCCCCGCCCACUGUCACGUGGACCAGAUUGACAGACGGAUAUGCGCCUCCGACAACGACUGUGGUGGUCAUGGCGAGAAAUGCUGUUUCCCUAACACGGGCUGCGACGCCCGGUGCGUCAAUAACUAACCUGGCACCACUGACCUCUGACCCUGCUAGAAAUGGUUGGUCAGUGAAGGCUGACAGUACACACCAAACUAUGACAUGUGGACAAAACAACACAAUGUGCUGUCACGGCAGAAUCGUGACACAUGACUUGCAGAAGGCCACCUUUCAUAAAUAUUUUUCAAGAAAAAAAA